ACGAACGCUGGCGGCGUGCUUAACACAUGCAAGUCGAGCGGUAAGGCCCUUUCGGGGGUACACGAGCGGCGAACGGGUGAGUAACACGUGGGUGACCUGCCCUCAGCUCUGGGAUAAGCCUGGGAAACCGGGUCUAAUACUGGAUAUGACUCCAUGACGCAUGUUGUGGGGUGGAAAGCCUUGUGCGGCUGAGGAGUGGGCCCGCGGCCUAUCAGCUUGUUGGUGGGGUNAUGGCCACCAAGGCGACGACGGGUAGCCGCCUGAGAGGGCGACCGGCCACACUGGGACUGAGACACGGCCCAGACUCCUACGGGAGGCAGCAGGUGGGGAAUCUUGCGCAAUGGGCGAAAGCCUGACGCAGCGACGCCGCGUGAGGGAUGA
RNAcentral lists this ribosomal RNA (381 nucleotides) under uncultured bacterium. RNAcentral describes it as "bacterial SSU rRNA". It matches the Rfam family "Bacterial small subunit ribosomal RNA", at positions 29 to 411 of the family's 1533-position model. The record is from RNAcentral.